UGCGAUGAUGAUGAUGGAAAAAAUAAUCUCGUUAAUCUGAUGAUUAUAUGAGGAAACAUUCAUACCCAUCUUAAAACCUGAGC
RNAcentral lists this small nucleolar RNA (83 nucleotides) under Cephalotus follicularis. Its description in RNAcentral is "Small nucleolar RNA U30". It matches the Rfam family "Small nucleolar RNA U30". The record is from Rfam by way of RNAcentral. Lineage: Eukaryota; Viridiplantae; Streptophyta; Magnoliopsida; Oxalidales; Cephalotaceae.